Long non-coding RNA from Cyanistes caeruleus (blue tit), 2629 nucleotides. NCBI's taxonomy places the organism in Eukaryota, Metazoa, Chordata, Aves, Passeriformes, Paridae. The record is from Ensembl.
CUUAUGUUUCCUCUGGGAGUGGUUUGUACUGGUUUAAACUGGUUUAUACUGGUCUAUACUGGUUUAUACUGGUUUAUACUGGUUUAAACUGGUUUGUACUGGUGCAGGUUCCUGGCCCCGGUGCUGGGGGCCCUGCGGGGGGGCCUGGGAGACCCCGACGGCGCCGUCAGGGGGGCGGCGGCGGCGGCGCUGAGGGAGCUGAGGGAGGAGCUGCAGCCCGAGGUGGCUCCGCUGGCGGCCGAGGCCCUCCCGAGGAUUUUGGGGGAAUUUUGGGGCUCCCGGAAUUCCGGGAAUUCCCCAAAUCCCGACCCCAGGUCCUGGUUCGUGCUGGAGACGCUGCUGGAGGCGCUGGGGGAGGGGGUUCAGCCCUGGCUGCCCCAGGUGAUUCCCAGGAUUUUGGGAGCUUUGGAGGCGUCGGAGCCGGAGCGGAGCCGGGAGCUGGCGCUGAGCGCGCUGCACGCGCUGGGUGAGGGCCGGGAACACCCCGAAACAGCCAAAACUGCCCCAAAACUGCCCAAAAACACCCCGAAAAUACCCCAGAACUGCCCAAAAACACCCAGAAACAGCCCAAAACACCCCGAAAAUACCCAGAAACACCCCAAAAACAGCCAAAAACACCCAAAAAUACCCCAAAAACAGCCCAAAAACAGCCAAAAACUGCCCCAAAACUGCCCAAAAACAGCCAGAAACACCCAAAAACACCCAAAAACUGCCCAAAACACCCGAAAAUACCCCAAAACACCCAGAAACACCCCAAAAACAGCCAGAAACAACCCAAAAACAGCCCAAAACACCCCAAAAUACCCAAAAAUACCCAAAAAAACCCCAAAAAUACCCCAAAACACCCAGAAACACCCGAAAACACCCAGAAACAGCCCAAAACUGCCUAAAAACAGCCCAAAAACAGGCAAAAACACCCGAAAAUACCCCAAAAACACCCAAAAACAGCCCAAAAACAGCCAAAAACACCCGAAAAUACCCCAAAAACACCCAAAAACACCCAGAAACAGCCCAAAACACCCGAAAAUACCCCAAAAACACCCAAAAACAGCCCAAAACCAACCAAAAACACACAAAAAAUACCCCAAACCCAACCAAAACCCACUGAAAAUGCCCCAAAACACCCCAAAAACACCCCAAAAUACCCAAAAAUACCCAAAAAAACCCCAAAAAUACCCCAAAACACCCAGAAACACCCGAAAACAUCCAGAAAGAGCCCAAAACUGCCUAAAAACAGCCCAAAAACUGCCCAAAAACAGGCAAAAACACCCGAAAAUACCCCAAAAACACCUCAAAACCAACCAAAACAGCCCAAAACUGCCCAAAAAUACCCCAGAAACGCCCAAAAACACCCAAAACACCGGAAAACACACAAAAACACCCCAAAAACACCCAGAAACGCCCAAAACCACUCCAGAACAGCCCAAAAGAACCAAAACCAGCCCCAAAACAACCCCAAAAAUACCCAAAACCAGCCCAAAACUGCCCAAAACACCCAAAAACAACCAGAAACACCCAAAACAGUCCAAAAACAGCCAAAAACACCCCAAAAAUAGCCAAAAACACCCAAAAACCCAAAAAUACCCCAAAAAUACCCGGAAACACCCAAAACAGCCCAAAAACACCUGAAAACAACCAAAAACACCCAGAAACAGCCCAAAACUGCCCAAAAUCAGCCCAAAAACACCCCAAAAACACCCCAGAAACAGCCCAAAAAUACCCAGAAACACCCAAAACCACACAAAAACAGCCCAAAACAACCAAAAACACCCAAAAACACCCGAAAACACCCAAAACCAACCAAAAACACCCCAAAAACAACCAAAAUUUCUGGGAAUUUUCCCGGAAUUUUUCCCAUAUUUUCCCCGGAACUUUCCAGAAUUUUUCCCGGGAUUUUUCUGGGAUUUUUCUGGAAUUUUCCCAUAAAUUUUCCCGGAAUUUUUCCCAUACUUUCGCCGGAACUUUCCAGAAUUUUCCCGGAUUUUCCCGGGAUUUUUCUGGAAUUUUCCCAGAUUUUUUCCAGGAUUUUUCAAGAAUUUUCUAGGAAUUUUCCCGAAUUUUUCCCGGGAUUUUUCCGGAUUUUCCCCAGAUUUUCCCAAGAUUCUUCCAGAAUUUUCCUGGAAUUUUCCCCAGAAUUUUCCCCAGAAAUUCCUGGGAAUUUUUCCUGAAUUUUCCUGGAUUUUCCCGGGAUUUUUCCCGGGAUUUUCCCAGGAUUUUCCAGAUUUCUCCCAGGAAUUUUCCACAAUUUUCUGGGAUUUUUCCCGGGAUUUUUCCAGAAUUUUCCGGGAAUUUUCCCGGAUUUUUCCCGGGAUUUUCCCGGAAUUUUCCCCGGAUUUUCCCCGGAUUUUUCCAGAUUUUCCCCAGAUUUUCCCGGGAUUUUCCCAGAAUUUUCUGGAUUUUUUUCAGAUUUUUUCCAGGAUUUUUCCAGAAUUUUCCAGGAAUUUUCUCCAGAAAUUUCCGGGAUUUUUCCAGAAUUUUCCCAGAAAUUUUCUGGAAUUUUCCUGGGAUUUUCCUGGAAUUUUCCCGGAUUUUUCCCGGAUUUUUCCCAGGAUUUUUCCGGAAUUUCCCGGAAUUUUCCCGGCAUUUUUCCCGGGAUUUUUCCGGAAUUUUCCUGGAAUUUUCCUGGAAU